Molecule: ribosomal RNA, 440 nt
Filed under: uncultured bacterium
Lineage: Bacteria
Description: partial 16S ribosomal RNA
Rfam family: Bacterial small subunit ribosomal RNA
Source: RNAcentral
CCUACGGGAGGCAGCAGUGGGGAAUAUUGCACAAUGGGGGAAACCCUGAUGCAGCGACGCCGCGUGAGUGAAGAAGUAAUUCGUUAUGUAAAGCUCUAUCAGUAGGGAAGAAAAUGACGGUACCUGAGUAAGAAGCCCCGGCCAACUACGUGCCAGCAGCCGCGGUAAUACGUAGGGGGCAAGCGUUAUCCGGAUUUACUGGGUGUAAAGGGAGCGUAGACGGCAGUGCAAGUCUGGAGUGAAAGGCGGGGGCUCAACCCCCGGACUGCUCUGGAAACUGUACGGCUGGAGUGCAGGAGAGGUAAGUGGAAUUCCUGGUGUAGCGGUGAAAUGCGUAGAUAUUAGGAGGAACACCAGUGGCGAAGGCGGCUUACUGGACUGUAACUGACGUUGAGGCUCGAAAGCGUGGGGAGCGAACAGGAUUAGAUACCCCUGUAGUC